ACCUAGAACCUGGGACCUCCCAGCCUGUAGAACUAACUGUGAGAAAUAAGUUUCUGCCACGUGUAAGGUAUUUAGGUUACAGCAGCUCAGAGGGACUGAGACAUGGAGACGGAGAGAAGGAAAGAGUCCUGAGUGUGGUCCAGCUCUGGCUGGGGCAGUUCCCAGGGCAUCAGCAGGUCUGACCUUUCUGCCACUUGCCUGGUCACCUCCUCCUUGAAGUCUGUGAUCUCCCCUACUGCAGCUGAAACACAUUCUCCCUGGGCCUAAACUGGUUCAAGUUGGGUGUUUGUCACGUGCAGUCAAUGUAACAGUAAGAGAAAAAGGUGAUUGGAAAAAGUGAGGUGCAGUCAGCAUUCUUGGUCUCUGCGCUUGAAACACUGGGAGGCACUUUCAAGGCUGCUCGGAGCUCAGAGUCUGGCCAAGUCCUACCUGCCCCUCGAGAUUCUGUUGGAACGUCUCUCCGAGAAGCCCCCUUCUGGCUCCCUGCUUUGUCAACUGUGAACCACACGUUCACUGCAUUGCCCUGCAAUGAUGGGUUCACAGACGAGUCUCGCGAAUCUGUGGAUUCCCCAAGGUUUCUUGGCUGCGAGGCAUAUGGGAUCUUCAAUCCCUGACCAGGGAUUGAACCCGCACCCCCUGCAUUGGGAGGCGAAGUCUUAACCACUGGGCCCCCUGGAAAGUCCCCUAGAACCAUGGUCUUUGUUGUGUCUGUUUCCCAGACACCCAGCACAGCACUGGGUCUGUGGUAAUGACUGUGAAAAUGAAUGAAUGACUGUGAAGACAGCUCCACAAGCCAGAGAGGAUCUUUAUACAGCACGGGGCUGGACCAGAUGAUUCUAUCUCUUGUCUACACUGCGGUUCCAACAUCACAUAACCCUGCCGGGUCAGCGCCCCUCUGCUUUGUCACCCAUGGGCUGUUAACUGUUGCCCAGGCAGCAACAACUCUCACUGCUAAUGCAGUUCCUCUAUUUCAAUAUGCAAAGAAAGCCUCACACCUCUGGGCUUUCUAUAGAUUAUGCAAAAAAAAAAGCCAUUUUAAUAUCUCCUUCCUCUUUGACUCGUGUUUUUUUUAGUUAGGGCUUUCCAUGUUUAUGGACUAACUUUUUUUUUAUUUUCUAAUUAUUAAGAAGCACUCAAGACAUAAAGAGGUAUGAAGAACAACAGAGUGGAUACCCAUGGACACAACCCAGUUGGUACAGCUGAAAAUAAAAUGGGCACAAGGGCCUUCCCUUAAAGAAGGGCUGGAACCAUUUCCAGCCCCUCUAGUUGCAGUCUUGUGUUUCCAAGGAACUGAAAAAUUGAUUUCAAACCUUGCGCCCAGGGCAGAGCCUGGUAUCUCCACAUCCAGACACAAAGUUCUCAUGCCACCCUCUUCUAAGGAGAAGGCAUCUCCCUCCUGCCUUGGGCCUUGGCAGGCUCUGCCACACCCCCUUCGAGGACAGACUUGGAGACUCUCUGAAAGGAAGGAAGAGGGGAAGGAAUUCAGGUUCCCCAUCAGCGUAGGCGUGCCCCCUGAUCAUCCUGACCAUGGGCUCCAUGAGAUUUUGGGUGAGGGGCGCAGGAUGGAAAACACCCAUGGGGGAAGUGCCUUAGGAAAGAAAUGAGCAAAUGAAGCGAACAAAGAUGGGAGGAUUCAGAAACCACCUGGACCUGCUUUCAUUCAUGCCAAGGCCUCUGGAGGGGGAUUCGUCAGGAAUUGCCUGUCAGAAGUCACUUCAGUUAUGCCGUCAUGUCCCUUCUAGGUCAGGACAGCAAGCCAGAGGUUGCGGUUUGAACAUGAAUAGGCAAGAUUCCUACUGAGGGAUUUGAGGGACUCAAGUAAGUGGAUGACUUACUGAAGAAAAUAAACAUUCAUGCUACAGUAAGACAGGAGCUAUCAUAAAGGGGAACAUAUAGGAUGUAAGGGAAGCCUCUGAAUCACACUUGGGCGCUGAGGAAGGCUUCCUGGAGGAGGUGAUGUUUGUCCUGCAGUGUGGCAAGUCACAUGCUAGGCAUGAUGAGUUCAUAAUGCUCGCUGGGAGCUACAAGUGGGCCCACCCUCCCGGAGCGAAAGGUGGGAGUGGGCGGUGGUGGGGGAGGUGGCCAGGGUGAUAUCACAAAGACCUGUGCGCUAAGCCAAGGAGUGGGAACCUUCUGCAAGCUAGCGGCAGCCACCAGAGGACUCAAGGCAGACCUGAGGCAGGGAAGAGUCCUGGAGAGAAGUGGAGAGCCCUGUGGAGCUGCGGGAUGGGGACUGGGAGGCAUAAGAACAAUGAGGAGGGCAUCACAGGACCGAGGUGAGAAGCCACGAGGAUCUGAAGUAAGAAGGUGAGGAGGUCUGCACCCCGUGGACACAGUGAUGGUGCCUCUCAGGGCUUGGGUUUGGCUGACUGCUAGUUGGCAGAGCUACUCACUGACACAAGAAUUCAGGGGAGAAGCAGACCUGGGCUUGGCCUUUGGAUGCUGGGGCAGCAGGUGAGUCACAAAUAUUAUAGAAGGCAUCAGACCCCCAGAGAGGCUACAAGCCUGAAAGCCACUAGAAGCAGACGGAAGGCCAGAGAAGGGUGAAGACUUGAGUGCAGGUAACAGGGCCUCUGAACGCACACCUGCUUUUCUGAGGAGACACCCUGCACAGGCUUCCCUGAGUCUCCAAGGCUGCAGCCUAGUUAUUCAUUUUAGCUCCAACAUUGUAAAGCCCAGGAUGGAACUGACAUCACCCCUGGACACACCUGUGGGCCUCAGUGAAGCAGCUCAAUCUCUAUUUAAUUUGGUUCUAUUUUAAAAUUCUGUAGUUUUUAAAAAUAUAUAUAUACAUGGUUUAAAAAUCAGUUAUGUAUCAAAAAUAUCACUGCUUACCCUGCUUUCCUGGUCCUCUGAGUCAACUAUUUUCAGCCAUUAGCAGAUGAUUUUUUUUGUUUGGUAUUUACCUUCCUAGCUCUAAACAACAUGGGUGUAUAGAUACUUGCUGGUUUUGUCCACAUUAGGCAUUAUCCAUUGACUUUCCAAUACAGUGCACAGGGAUUCAGCUCUGCUCACUCCACCCUCACCUCCACCACAUACGUGUGCCCACUUCCCGUUCCUCCAUCCUCCCAAUACAGUUGUCAUAUUUGGUUAUAUCAAUUUUCAGUCUUUACAUAUUAUGGUUGUGUUCAUGCUGUUCACAACUGAGUCACUUCAAGUAACCAUGAUUUUAUUCCCCUUUCCUCCAUAGCUUUUUAUAUUCCACCAGAGUUCAAAAUUGUGGCACUUAAUUUGUGCUUAUCACUACUCCAAUCCCCCAGUUCUCUCCCAAUUAUGUAAACCAUUCCCAGUAUUUUCAGACACAGUCUUAUCAAUGUCAUCUUUUGGACCAAUCUUUCCUGGAGUCUUUGAUCAGCUUCCAUCAGAACAGGCCGUUUC
Long non-coding RNA from Bos taurus (domestic cattle), 3378 nucleotides. The record is from Ensembl. Lineage: Eukaryota; Metazoa; Chordata; Mammalia; Artiodactyla; Bovidae.